CGUAAGCGCACGCAGGCGGUCUGCUCUAAGUCGGAUGUGAAAUCCCCGGGCUCAACCUGGGAACGUGCAUUCGAAACUGGCAGGCUAGAGUCUUGUAGAGGGGGGUAGAAUUCCAGGUGUAGCGGUGAAAUGCGUAGAGAUCUGGAGGAAUACCGGUGGCGAAGGCGGCCCCCUGGACAAAGACUGACGCUCAGGUGCGAAAGCGUGGGGAGCAAACAGGAUUAGAUACCCUGGUAGUCCACGCCGUAAACGAUGUCGAUUUGGAGGUUGUGCCCUUGAGGCGUGGCUUCCGGAGCUAACGCGUUAAAUCGACCGCCUGGGGAGUACGGCCGCAAGGUUAAAACUCAAAUGAAUUGACGGGGGCCCGCACAAGCGGUGGAGCAUGUGGUUUAAUUCGAUGCAACGCGAAAAACCUUACCUGGUCUUGACAUCCACAGAACUUGCCAGAGAUGGUUUGGUGCCUUCGGGAACUGUGAGACAGGUGCUGCAUGGCUGUCGUCAGCUCGUGUUGUGAAAUGUUGGGUUAAGUCCCGCAACGGA
RNAcentral lists this ribosomal RNA (540 nucleotides) under Klebsiella quasipneumoniae. Its description in RNAcentral is "bacterial SSU rRNA". It matches the Rfam family "Bacterial small subunit ribosomal RNA", at positions 559 to 1096 of the family's 1533-position model. Lineage: Bacteria; Pseudomonadati; Pseudomonadota; Gammaproteobacteria; Enterobacterales; Enterobacteriaceae. The record is from RNAcentral.